RNAcentral lists this ribosomal RNA (625 nucleotides) under Serratia marcescens. RNAcentral describes it as "bacterial SSU rRNA". It matches the Rfam family "Bacterial small subunit ribosomal RNA", at positions 74 to 692 of the family's 1533-position model. The record is from RNAcentral. Lineage: Bacteria; Pseudomonadati; Pseudomonadota; Gammaproteobacteria; Enterobacterales; Yersiniaceae.
GAGAGCUUGCUCUCUGGGUGACGAGCGGCGGACGGGUGAGUAAUGUCUGGGAAACUGCCUGAUGGAGGGGGAUAACUACUGGAAACGGUAGCUAAUACCGCAUAACGUCGCAAGACCAAAGAGGGGGACCUUCGGGCCUCUUGCCAUCAGAUGUGCCCAGAUGGGAUUAGCUAGUAGGUGGGGUAAUGGCUCACCUAGGCGACGAUCCCUAGCUGGUCUGAGAGGAUGACCAGCCACACUGGAACUGAGACACGGUCCAGACUCCUACGGGAGGCAGCAGUGGGGAAUAUUGCACAAUGGGCGCAAGCCUGAUGCAGCCAUGCCGCGUGUGUGAAGAAGGCCUUCGGGUUGUAAAGCACUUUCAGCGAGGAGGAAGGUGGUGAACUUAAUACGUUCAUCAAUUGACGUUACUCGCAGAAGAAGCACCGGCUAACUCCGUGCCAGCAGCCGCGGUAAUACGGAGGGUGCAAGCGUUAAUCGGAAUUACUGGGCGUAAAGCGCACGCAGGCGGUUUGUUAAGUCAGAUGUGAAAUCCCCGGGCUCAACCUGGGAACUGCAUUUGAAACUGGCAAGCUAGAGUCUCGUAGAGGGGGGUAGAAUUCCAGGUGUAGCGGUGAAUUGCGUA